UGGCCCUUUGAAACUGUGAAGUGCUCCCUCCAUCCUUUCACCCAAGCCGGGGAGAGGAGGAGGAGGAGGAGGGGGACUCACAGCCUCUCCCCCUCCGCCAGACGCGCCUCCUCUCUGGGUCACAUCAUCGUGUCGGUCUCCGCCCCGCUGCUCCCAUCAUCACACAUCCACCAGGCGAAGCAAACAGGAGGAAUACAAGAAACCAUGAAGGACCGCAUCCAGGAACUUAAACAUGGGAAGGAGACGACAGAGGAGGAGGAUGAAGUGACAGUGGGGAUGGAUAAAGGCUUUAUGGAUGAAUUCUUUGAACAGGUAGAAGAGAUCCGGGGUUUUAUCGAGUCUCUGGCAGAGAAAGUUGAAGAGGUGAAGAGGAAGCACAGCGCCAUCCUUGCCUCACCUAACCCGGAUGAGAAGACUAAAGCUGAUCUUGAGGAUCUAAUGGCAGACAUCAAGAAACUGGCCAAUAAAAUACGCUCCAAAUUAAAGAGUAUCCAGCAAACCAUUGAGCAAGAAGAAGGGCAGAACCGGUCAUCGGCUGACCUCAGGAUACGUAAAACACAGCACUCUACACUGUCCCGCAAAUUUGUCGAAGUGAUGUCGGAAUACAACACCACCCAGUCGGACUACAGGGAGCGCUGCAAAGGACGCAUUCAGAGGCAGCUGGAGAUCACUGGCAGAAACACAACAAACGAGGAGCUGGAGAGCAUGUUGGAGAGCGACAACCCAGCCAUCUUUACCUCGGGGAUAAUAAUGGACAACAUCACCCAGCAGGCCAUGAAUGAGAUCGAGACGCGGCACAAUGAGAUCAUCAAGCUGGAGAACAGCAUCAGAGAGCUCCACGACAUGUUCAUGGACAUGGCCAUGCUGGUGGAGAGCCAGCUUUGCUCUCUCUGUCCCUUCUCUCUUUGUUUUCUCCUGUUUCAUUUUUGCAACGCCUCACAAAUCUGUCACCAUCCCAAUGACUCUAAGCUCUAAAGAACAGAGAAAGCUGCUAUUCUAAUGCCACAAGGGCGGGCUGGUGGAUAACAUCGAGCGUGGUGUUGUGGAGGCCCAGGAGUAUGUGGAGGGAGCAAAGGAGCGCAUCCCAAAAUGCAAAAGAAGUUGAUCCUGGUAGGAGGUUGUGUAGCAUUCUGUCUGACCGUCCUCAUUGUGUCCCUCUCAGUGGGACUCAGUUAGGACCCUGAUGUCUCCUCUCAGGACCAACAGGAACUGUGUGAUGGGCAGUAGCGUCCAAUGUGCAUACAAAGUUUUAACUGAGCACCCAGGAUGUGUUCAACUUUAGAAUAUAGUUUUAAAUUCUUAAAUGAUCAAGAACUUCAGGAAACGGUGUUACUGUUCUUUGUCUGGUUCUGCGUUUCUUUUUUAUGUAAUGUUUUGUCUUGUGCAUGUUGUACGUUGCAUGUCCUCUCACUGAAGAAACGUGGUCGUUUUUAAGCUCUUUGUAAAAAAAAAUUGCCUGACAAGAUUUUUGCAGAACUUUAUUGAAUUUGUUGCUUUUACCUGUUUUUACCACUAGAGGAAGGCAAAAUGAAUGUUUUCUUGGGAAACGACAAUGAAUCAUGUCAGAGGCAGAGGGAGUUCUAUAUCAUGAAACCUAAUGAUAAAAACAAAUUUAAUAGAAUCUAAUCAAACAAGUUGGAUGCAAAUGUUCACUUCUGAAUUAGGAUGAAAACCAUAAGUAUAAAAACUGUUAUAACCUGCAUUUGUUGUAAAAGUGUACAGCUUGGUUGUAAAUUUAUUUGUUUUAGCAACUCAUUUGUAAAAAAAAAUCUAUAGAAAUGGGUCUAUUUUUAAGUCCUCUGAGUUCUCUCUGCCUCUUUUAUUAAAUUUUUUUUAUAUAGUAGAAGGCUGGAGCACUCAGGUUAAUGUAAAGACGCCUUUGUUGAAAUUUGAACUUUGAACCGAGUGCUCCAGCCUUCUACUUCAGUUGUUGGUCCUAGCUGUUGAGAACCGGUGCUCAGUUUGAUGAAGCGCAGAGUGCCUGUUUACUCCUAUUUUCAUUUACAUCUGCUGGUGUGAAAUGAACAAAAUGCAGAAACAGAAAUGUUAAAAAAUUGCUUGAGCAAAAACAUCUAGUCACACUCGAGCUUCUUCAAAACUGCAUUUUGUUCUGAAAAUUAACCAAAUGUCUUUUCUGAUGUGUUCUUUUUUCCCCUCUGAUCUGCUGCGUGGGAUGCUUCUUUUAUGUUUGUUUGUUUUUUGUUUUUUGCCCUGCAGAAGAAAAUUAUGAUCAUAAUAUGCUGUGUGAUUCUGGGAAUUGUCAUUGCUUCCAUAGUUGGAGGAACUCUGGCUUAAACUUCUACAGUCACGCAGCCACACACACACACACACACACACACACACACACACAUACACGCGCACACACUUGUAUUUACAUUUUUUUGUGGACCUCCAUUGGCUUCCAUUCAUUUUAGUGACUCCACUAUGCCUAUGCCUAUACCCUAACCCUACCAUAACCAAUGGGGUUCUAUUCCUAACCGUUACCUGAACCAAUCUGACCUAAAGGUUUAUUCAUACCAUGCCUCUAAAACCAAGUUUCAGGAUGCUCAGCAUUGUGUGGACCAGUUAAAGUCUAAAUUUGUCCACUUAAACAUAUAAAGACACACACACAUACACACACACACAGACACACACACACACACUUUCAGUUUCCCAUUUAAAUAAAUGCAAUCCUAGAACAUGUUUAGCACAAGAUGCGCCGCCUAAUGUCCGACGCAUCGUCUAACACACCCUGUACAGGGCCAGAGGUGUUCUCGCAUGAGUUGCUAUUUUGUAAACGUGUGGUGCUGCAAAUCGUUCCUCUGAGUGUUGUCAAGAACAUGAUGUUUUUUUGUUUAGUUUUGUUUUCUGAAUGGGAAAGUUACAAACCAAUGUGUAAUGCUAUACUGAAACAUUCCAACUGGCAGAAAUGGCACUGAUUUGUUUGUAAUGUCUGUUUUUGUGUCAAACAGACAGUGACAGGUCACUCAUCUGCAGUGUUUUUACAGCCGUGUUAUUUGAUUUUUUUGGUUGUGAUUUAGUUUUGUAUUCAUAACCUGAUUUCAGACGCCCUGCAUGGUUUUAGUGGUGUUUUGUAUUCAGAUGCAAAAAGGAAAACAACAAAAGAAAAGCAAAAACAAGCAUAGCUGUACUGAUGUUGGUGUCGAAUCAUCUAACUGCCAAACUUGUUUUCUCCUAUGUUUUAUUUAUCUUUCACUAGAUAACUGCAGCCGUUGUUUACUUCUGGUUUCACCUUUAAAACAGCAUGUUUCACUUCAUUUCCAGUGUUGAGUGCAGGCGCGCAGUUAGGGUGGGGGACGGGGGGGAUCUGUCCCCCCCAGAUUCAGAUGAACCUCAAUCCGUCCCCCGCACUAAGGCCAGAAAGAAAACAAAAUCGGAGGUUAAGCGCUUGAAUCUCCUUUUUCCAAUUACAUUGAACACAGCAUGAUGUAAACAAACACUUAACUCCAGAGACGCCAAAGUGGGUGCUGCUAGGAUGCAGGAUGAAGCGAAAAAGGCAACGAUUACUGCAUAUUUUAAAAAGACCAACAGUGUAAGUAGGCGGGACCGAUCUGUCUGUUUAUGCAUGUUGGUUCUAGUUUCAGUACGUUGUUGUCGGUGUUGGGACUUACUCGUUAAAAGCGCCAAAGCCUCAUUGCUGACUUUAACAAGUCUCAUAUACAAAUAUGAUCUCUCAUGACGUUACUACUUUACACCAGAAGAUAGUGGAGAUGUGGAACCUUCAGGCUGAGCAAAGUUUGGGAGUUUUUAGAGUAAGAAAAAUGACUCCCGCCGAGAGGCUCCCCGUGGGGGAAGAGCGCAAAUAUUAGAUAAAACGUAUAAUUGCCGGCAGGUCUGGUCUUUGUUGACUGAUCACUUUGUCUGGUCAUGACUGACUCUGAUUAUGAAGCAGAAUAUUGACUCUGAUGAAGAAAUUCACUCAUCCAGCCAGGAAGAUUUAUACUGCUGCAGCAUCAAACAGCUGGUGCUGCAGGAGAGGUGUGUGGAGUUUACAAGCUCCAAACGUUGGGUUUGAUGUUUGUUUAACCUUCUUUGGGACACGUUGGAUGUAGAAAGGAUGGUAAAAACACUGCUAAUGGGAUAGACGUAGCGACAAUGUUAAAAAAAAGCCGUAAAAGGAGGCAGAUGCCGAUGCGUUAAAUAUGGAAGUCAAAGUGUGCCACAUAAUAAUAACAAAAGUAAAAUAUAAAAUUUAAAAAUAGCUUUAUAUAUUUAUAUAUAAAUUAAAACUUUCCAAAUAUAAUGAAAAUUUCUAAAUAACGUAAGAAUACGAAGGAACAUCUGUUGGUCAGGCCGAAAAGUUUGGGAACCACUGCUCUAACUAGGGUUGGGCAUCGAGCAUCGAUUGGAACCGGUUCCAGCUGUUAGUUUUUCCCAGAAUCAUUCAAAGUUUUUUAUUUCGAUUCCUAGUUUCAAUUCCUAGAAUGCCGACGGAAGAGGAUUCUGCCGCCGAUCUCCGUGAAAAAUAAACGUGAUCUGCAAAUUGUGAUCAACGCUUUUCAGAGCUGAUCACACCAGCUGUCUGUCUGCAGCACCGAGUCCUCCCUCCCCCCACCCAGAUACGCGUCUGCCGAACUAUUACUCUGUAGUAAACUGUAACUCUUGCAGCGUAGAGGAAACGUGUUAAAAUACGUCAACACGGUGGAUUUACAGUUUUUCUCCAUUGGUUUGGCUCAUUUCUUGAAACAGAAAUUACAUUCUCAAACCUCAAAGAUCAUUUGGCAAAACACUCUUUCAGUUUAGCACAACACUAUAGCUCACCUGCAAAAGCUCAUAUCUCUUCCAAAACUGUUCAGUCAGGCUUCAAUCUAAAUCCCUUUCUCAUUUAAACAGUCAGUGUCUCCAAAAUGGCAAAGAUCCUUCUCAAUAGCUUUGGCUCAUUUCUCAACACAGAUCGGGACAUUCUCAUCAUUCUUUGUGCUUUUGUCAAAAUAAGCCUGGAUGGUUGAUCACAACAACAUGGUUUACCUGCAAAAGCUCAAAUCUCUCCUAAAACAGUUCACUCAUGUGUCAAAACUACAUUUCUUUCUAAUCUUAAUAGUCGGUGCCCCCAAAAUGCACCGUGCCUUUGGCAUUGUGUGAGUACUGCCAUACAAAUGUUUAGAUGCUUUGUCACUAUGGCAGAGGACCAACAAUAUACAACCGAAAAGAGUAGCCUCCAAGGUUUAACAUCACAGAUUGCACUCACACCACCAAGGAAAUUAUAAACAUUUUUUAUUCACACGCAAAGAAAGUUUCAUACAUAUGUAAAAAGAAAAUGUACAUUACAGUAAUACAGUAAAUUGUAUGAACACAAAAUCAAAAAAACAAGGACGCAUUCAGUGGUCGCUGUACUCAUUCUCCUGCUCUUGUCCACUGUCUUCACCCUCCUGAUUAUUUACACGCUGUUGUCCGUCUGGCCACAGAUUCUUGUCCACAUCACAGCGGAUACUUCCCCUUGUCUGUUUGCUUGGCCUUGUCUAUCCAUGUUCAGAGAUUGGACUGGCGCUGGUCAGGCUCUAUAUAUCUGUGUUUGGCAGCACACGAUCAUGGAAAACACCUGUGUGUGUGUGACACUCCCCGUUCGUUAGUCUAGUUUCACCUGACUGUCAAUGACUGUCAUCAAUGUAUCAAAUAUUUAAAGAAAUUCAUAUAUUUUAUUCAUGGUUUCAUGUUCUUGACCAAUUCUGACAAUUGAACAGACAGUUGCGCACGUGAGUACUUACACAAUGAAAUCAUGCUAACGUGUUUUGGAGAGACAGAUCAUUAGACUGAGAAUCAACUAAUCAGUUUAGAUCUACAAGAUAUAUUCAUUUGGAAAAUGUGCUAAAUGUGGGCUAACUGUAUAACUGUAGGCUACAUGUACUUAAUCAUUUGCAAAGAUGCACUGAGACAAUUGAGACAUGUAUUCAGGCAUUUGCCAUUUCGAUAAAAAGAAACGAGAAAUGCCAUUCUCUUGUGAACAUUUGCCAAGAGGUUUGUCCAUGUUACUUUGAGAAUGUAAUUUCUGUUUCAAGAAAUGGGCCAAACCAAUGGAGAAAAACUAAUAGAAGCUUUAAAGAACAAACUCUGGGCGGUGUGAGGUGAGUUUUUCUCACUGCAGAAAUAAAAACAUACACAGAGCGUCAGCAGUCAGACGCAGCCGUUUACCAACACUCGUGUGUGUGUGUGUGUGUGUGUGUGUGUGUGUGUGUGUGUGUGUGUGUGUGUGUGUGUGUGUGUGUGUGUGUGUGUGCAGGGACGAAAUUUUGAUUUCAGAAGUGGGGGGGACACAGCAGGCUUGUGCGGAUUUGGGGUGGGGGGUGUUAUGUAAAGACCCCUUGACACGUCACGUGCCCAUCUCAAUAAUUUUUCCAUCCUCUAUAUAUAUAUAUAUAUAUAUAUAUCAAAGUUAAAAAAUGUACAACUCUAUUAUUAUUUUUAUUUAUUAUCAUUAUUGAAGUGCAGUUUUGGCUGUUGACAAUGGAUAGGCCAUUGUAUUUAUUGUUUUGGGUCUUUUUUAUUGAUUUUGGUGCAACAUUUUCUAACAGGGAGUGAGAUUCCUUUUUUAUUCAAUUUUUGUUUGUUAUUUUUAUUCAUUUAGAAGUUCUGGUUCUGGACAUUUCAAUGUUAAAUGAAGGUUUAUUUGUUGCAUUUUAAAGGGUGUACUUGCAUUAUUAUGAUAUAUUAACAUUAGAUUAGUGGUUAUUUUGGUCUAGAUAAUGUUGACAAUAUCGUUUAUCAUCAAUAAUUUGUUGGACAAAAUAUCGUCCAGCAAAAUUUGUUACAUUCCCAGGCCUAGUCAAAAGUAUAAAAAUUAUUUAUACAUAAACGGUCCCUCAUGAGAUCUGGCCGUUUGUUCAUUUGCUGUGUUAGAGGACAUGCUGAACUAAUGUUUUACACAUGAUCAUCACCCUAACAUUUGAGUGUAUAAAAACAUAUUAAAUAUGGUUUUUUCCCUUAAAAGUGUUUAAACAGUUGUUGCAUUUCAACACACAAAAAAUAAAUGGAAAAAAUAAGAUAAAUCUAAUGAAAAGUGUACAUCUUUGACAUUGGGGCGACGGUGGCACAGGAGUUAAGUGCUCGCCUCGCAAUCGGAAGGUCGCAGGUUCGAGACCCGCUCAGUCUGUCGCUGUCGUUGUGUCCUUGGGCAAGACACUUAACCCACAUUGCCUGCUGGUGGUGGUCGGAGGGACCGGUGGCGCCAGUGCUCGGCAGCCUCGCCUCUGUCAGUGCGCCCCAGGGCAGCUGUGGCUACAUCGUAGCUCAUCCCCACCAGUGUGUGAAUGUGUGUGUGAAUGGGUGAAUGACUGAUUGUGUUGUACAGUGCCUUGGGGGGUUCCAGGACUCUAGAAGGCGCUAUAUCAAAUACAGGCCAUUUAAGCUUAAAAAAAUCUGUUGACGAUGAUACUGUUCAUUUUUCAGAGCUUUUUAAUGUGAAAAUAUACAUUGCAAUAGAUAAGUUUACAAUAAAGUUAAAUGAUAAAAGUUUUGAAGUUACACUUCUACUACUACUAGUAAUAAUAAUUAUGAUGAUAAUAGUAAUAAUGAAAAAAUAAUUAUUAUAAUAAUACGAAUAAAUUGUGUCUGAGGAGUCAGUUAUGUGGAGGAGAUGAGUUUGUAAAAGUUAGUUUUGAGUAUGUUUGUGAAGGAGGAGGUGAGUCUGAGCUUAAUGCAGGGGUGUCACAUGUUCCAACUUACGUUUUGACUUUGAAAGAAGUCUCUUAUAUCCACUUUUCGUUUUCUUGACAUGCUGCCUCCUGGCUGUGCCUAACUACCAAAGACUCACAAAUGAACACUUAUUCAAAUGUUAUGUAAUGGAAGCUGAGCUGAGCUCUGAUAUUACACAGCGUCUAGUUGACGAUGUGACUCAGUACCGGUGUUCCCUAGCGGCUCCAAACUAGCAAAACAACGUGAGCACGUUCUGACUGUUUACAACUUGAGUGACAGCAGCAACAGCCAAUAAUACGUUAGCAAGUAUCAGCAGAGCCAAUAGAUUAGCUUUUGGGCGGGUCUAAUAGUAAACCGGUUUCCGUUUCGGUCCUAGUGCUCAACCAAAUCCAUUUAAUGGAGCGUAACAUUGUUUUUGGACGGAAAAAAGUGCAGGGGACCAAAACUGCCUUUUGAAAAAGUGGGGGGGACAUGUCCCACCCGUCCCCCCCCAAAAUUACGUCCCAGUGUGUGUGUGUGUGUGUGUGUGUGUGUGUGUGUGUGAGCGUCAGAAGGCUGAACAAUAACCUGUAGAAUAAUUAAAGUCAUCAUGCUAUAAAAGCUUUCUCUGUGGUGGACCACACCAGCUUCUGCCACAAUAAAUAAUAACAAUAAUAAAUCACAAUGGUGAACAUUUUAAUUUCCUUUCUGACCUAUUUCUGUUGAGAGUUUUAAUGUUUAAAAUCUGUUAGGUUGUUACUGACAGCAGCUACACUUAAGCUUCACUUCCUGUUCUGACUGAACGCUGCUGCAGCAUGGAGGUGUAGUUCUCAGUCAUCCUGGACAUGAUCAUCCUGAGAGUUUUAGCUGAAAACAGCUGGACGUUUCUGGAUAUGUUGGAGAUAUUUAGCCUCUCAUCCCAGAGGCUUCUUCCAUACUUUGGUUGUGGUCAGAAACAAACACACUGGUUGUGCUGCAAGUCUUUUUCUUUUUUUCUCCAAAACAUGUUUUUGUCUAAAUGAAGGUGAUUUUGUGGUUCAUAGAAUUAAAAUUCAUGUUGAAGUUAAGAUUAUUUCAUCAAGUAGGACCUGUGGUUAGCUGGCUCGUGUAAAACAUGCCAUGUCUUAAAAGAAUCGGAAUCGGGAAUUGAUAAGAACCGGAAUUGAAACAAGGAAUUGGAAUCGGAAUCGUUCAAAAUCAAACGAUGGCCAAUCCUAUGAGUGAGUAUUGUUUUUUAAAUAUAUUUUAUGUGCAGUUUUUUAGGGCUUUUAGGUUUUCUGUAAAGAUUGGUAUGCUGGAAAUCAUUUAAUGUUUUGCAUAAAGCAUGAGGUUUUGGUUAGUAAUUGAUUGGGAGGAUAACAAAUGACUGACUUGGAUAGUGUUGAUUAGGCAGAGCUUGUUGCCAGCGUUCCAUUGCACAAUGGCUUCAAACACAUAUAUAAAAUUGUUAGUUAUUUCGUAAACCAUUCAAUGGAAUUACACAAACUGACUGAGCUCUAGUUAAGGCUCUUGCAUAUCCAUAUUAUGGAGCUAGGAUUGGGACAAUAUUCAGCGUAACUUGUACCAAGUUUUGUAACUUCGAACAUGUUUCAUCACAUGUAACUGGAUUCGUAACUUGUAACUUUAGUUUUCUAACUUGUAAUUCUCAAUUCUUACUUGUAUUUCUUGUGAAACGUGAUUGGUAGCUAAGACUCGUGCUCUCAUUGGUUCCACCCAAGUUCCUCCCACUGACGCUAGAAUCGAGACAAAAAGAUCCGUAACUGUGGAUUUGAGGUUUGUACCUGUAGAAUGAAAUGUGUGUUUUUGAGAGUUUUGAUUUCAAACUUGUACCUUGAUUUUUUCAAUUUGGAAGUCUGCUAGUUACAAAACGAAAGUUUCAUGUUUCUGAAUGAAUGUUUGAUGUUACAAAAUGAGUAGUAAAUGUACAAAAUAAGUUUGAUUUUACAAAAUAAAAAAUACAUGUACAAAAUGAAAAUUUCCUGUUACAAAACAAGAAAUACAAGUACAAAUUGAGAAUUACAAGUUAGAAAACUAAAGUUACAAGUUACAAAUCCAAAGUUACAUGUGAUGAAACAUGUUCGAAGUUACAAAACUUGGUACAAGUUACGCUGAAUAUUGUCCCAAUCCUAGCUCCAUAUUGCAAUAGUUUGUGUAUGUGUAUGUGUACGUGCGUACGUGUGUGUGUAUAGUGGACCAUUCCCAUCUGUACCGGGUCGGCCCGGGCCGGGUAGCAUAGGUUGUUUACAUAUCUGGGUGGCCUGGUAUUUUUCCGGGCCAACCAAGGCUCAUUCUCAGCCCUCUUCUCGAGGGGGUCUGCUUCAGGCCGACCAGGGCCAACACACCCACUGCUGACAGCAAAUUCACACCUUCCAUUAGAGCAAGCCUCUGAUUGGUGGGUAGAAUCAGCCCAUUCACACCUUCCAUUAGAGCAAGCCUCUGAUUGGUGGGUAGAAUCAGCCCACAUGGGCUUAAGACAAGGAUGUGUGGAAUCAACCGGGCCAGGCUGGGGCGGACUGGGGCUACCCGGCCCGGGCCGACCCGGUACAGAUGGGAAUGGCCCAUAUGUGUUUGGGGGAGGGUACAUUGAAACUUUGUCCCCCCCAGUUUGAAAAUCCUAUCUGCGCCCCUGGUUGAGUGUGAGUUUGUGCAUGCACGGAUGUUUAAGAGCAGAUGUUCAACUGUAGCUAAUCGUCUGAGUGAAAACUGGAGUGUGUUGUUUUGUAUUGAAAAGCUCUCUAACACUGCCAAUAGUAAAAUGUUAAACAGAGUUUAAUCUGAUUGAAUUACUGAUUCUGUCUUAGUUUACGUCUUUUUUAAAAGAACCCUGAACUCUAAACGGUGCAAGAUGCUUCUUUGUUGAUGAACAUGAAGUCAGAGUUUUUAGGGACACAUCAGAUGUGCACAAACCGCGUUACCAUGUUGCCUACUUGACUUGUUGCCUUUGUGUUGUAUUGUGAUAACAUGGUUUCAUUUGUAACUGGGGUUUCUUUACAAAGUAAAAGUCUAUUUGGAAAGUCA
Non-coding RNA from Nothobranchius furzeri (turquoise killifish), 10626 nucleotides. Lineage: Eukaryota; Metazoa; Chordata; Actinopteri; Cyprinodontiformes; Nothobranchiidae. The record is from RefSeq and is a predicted model, not a curated record.